UCCCUGGUGGUCCAGUGGUUAAGACUCUGCACUACCACUGCAGGGGGUGCGGGUUCGAUCCCUGGUCAGGGAA
Molecule: non-coding RNA, 73 nt
Organism: Eubalaena glacialis (North Atlantic right whale)
Lineage: Eukaryota; Metazoa; Chordata; Mammalia; Artiodactyla; Balaenidae
Source: the annotation of a RefSeq genome assembly